RNAcentral lists this transfer RNA (58 nucleotides) under Nippostrongylus brasiliensis. It matches the Rfam family "tRNA", at positions 7 to 64 of the family's 71-position model. From Rfam's summary of the family: Transfer RNA (tRNA) molecules are approximately 80 nucleotides in length. Lineage: Eukaryota; Metazoa; Nematoda; Chromadorea; Rhabditida; Heligmosomidae. The record is from Rfam by way of RNAcentral.
GUAGCAUAGUGAUUAGUGCACAACCCGGAUAGAUUGAGACGCGGGUUCGAAUCCCGCC